AGACCCGAAACCCGGUGAUCUAGCCAUGGGCAGGUUGAAGGUUGGGUAACACUAACUGGAGGACCGAACCGACUAAUGUUGAAAAAUUAGCGGAUGACCUGUGGCUGGGGGUGAAAGGCCAAUCAAACCGGGAGAUAGCUGGUUCUCCCCGAAAGCUAUUUAGGUAGCGCCUCGUGAAUUCAUCUCCGGGGGUAGAGCACUGUUUCGGCUAGGGGGCCAUCCCGGCUUACCAACCCGAUGCAAACUGCGAAUACCGGAGAAUGUUAUCACGGGAGACACACGGCGGGUGCUAACGUCCGUCGUGAAGAGGGAAACAACCCAGACCGCCAGCUAAGGUCCCAAAGUCAUGGUUAAGUGGGAAACGAUGUGGGAAGGCCCAGACAGCCAGGAUGUUGGCUUAGAAGCAGCCAUCAUUUAAAGAAAGCGUAAUAGCUCACUGGUCGAGUCGGCCUGCGCGGAAGAUGUAACGGGGCUAAACCAUGCACCGAAGCUGCGGCAGCGAACGUAUCACCCAAGACAACUUUACGGAGUUGACGAUUGACGGAGCGAAGCGACGUCAAAGCGUUCAUUAAAGUCGAGUUGGCUUAGGGAUACGUUCGUUGGGUAGGGGAGCGUUCUGUAAGCCAGUGAAGGUGUGUCGUGAGGCAUGCUGGAGGUAUCAGAAGUGCGAAUGCUGACAUAAGUAACGAUAAAGCGGGUGAAAAGCCCGCUCGCCGGAAGACCAAGGGUUCCUGUCCAACGUUAAUCGGGGCAGGGUGAGUCGACCCCUAAGGCGAGGCCGAAAGGCGUAGUCGAUGGGAAACGGGUUAAUAUUCCCGUACUUGGUGUUACUGCGAAGGGGGGACGGAGAAGGCUAUGUUGGCCGGGCGACGGUUGUCCCGGUUUAAGCGUGUAGGUGUGUGUUCCAGGUAAAUCCGGUUCACUUUAACACUGAGGCGUGAUGACGAGGCACUACGGUGCUGAAGCAACAAAUGCCCUGCUUCCAGGAAAAGCCUCUAAGCAUCAGGUAACAUCAAAUCGUACCCCAAACCGACACAGGUGGUCAGGUAGAGAAUACCAAGGCGCUUGAGAGAACUCGGGUGAAGGAACUAGGCAAAAUGGUGCCGUAACUUCGGGAGAAGGCACGCUGACACGUAGGUGAAG
This 1143-nucleotide ribosomal RNA is filed under the name Salmonella enterica subsp. enterica. RNAcentral describes it as "partial 23S ribosomal RNA". It matches the Rfam family "Bacterial large subunit ribosomal RNA", at positions 711 to 1767 of the family's 2925-position model. Lineage: Bacteria; Pseudomonadati; Pseudomonadota; Gammaproteobacteria; Enterobacterales; Enterobacteriaceae. The record is from RNAcentral.